This is a long non-coding RNA of Callithrix jacchus (white-tufted-ear marmoset), 754 nucleotides long. RefSeq lists it as uncharacterized. The record is from RefSeq and is a predicted model, not a curated record. Lineage: Eukaryota; Metazoa; Chordata; Mammalia; Primates; Cebidae.
AAGGGAUACAGAUAUGAAAUGAUUUACUUCUGGGAAAUGCUCUUGUAAGCAUUUGCAGGAAUAGUUCUGGUUACUAGAGGGGUGGUUUAUUUUAGGCACCUAUGUAUGGGGAGGAGUGAACAAGUUGGUGGGGAUGAAAAUAAAAAGGGAAGUGGUAGCGGACAGGAACAGGGAUCUCAUUCAUCAGACUCAGAAGCCUCAAGGAUGAGAAGAGAAAUUCCGGGGUGGCUGCCCGUUACUCAGCAAGAAGGCGAACACUGGUUUGCUGCCUCAGCACUUAACCCGAGAGAAGGAUAUCCUAACAGCCCUUUUUCUCUAAGGGGUAGGGUAGGGUACGGUAGGGUGGGGCCAAAAGGAGAGGAGGAGGAAGGCCUGCCUCCCUGGAGGUCUGCAGGACUCAGCAGCAGAGACGGCCUUGCACCAGCGCUCCGCUCGGUUCCAGAAUAUACCCUAUUUCUGCCCAUCAAUCAGCAUUAAGCCAGUUUGGAGCUGAGCUUCAGGCACAGGCAGUUGCCAGUAGCAACAGGGCACAGGCUCUCGGUCAGAAUUAAAACUGCAUACAUCAUGGAGACUUUACAGCUGAGGCAAAGUGGAGUUCAAGUGUUACCUUCCCAAUAAGUAAAUCGUGUAAGUCAAGGACAGUUACUGGUCAGAUUUUACAAUACUUUUAUGAAUAUUUAAAAGUUUGGAGUUUUUCAUUGAUAAUUUGUUUAAUGUGCUUAUCGGUAUUAAAUAAAAAUUUUGCUAAAAUUAA